Long non-coding RNA from Brassica rapa (field mustard), 571 nucleotides. RefSeq lists it as uncharacterized. The record is from RefSeq and is a predicted model, not a curated record. Lineage: Eukaryota; Viridiplantae; Streptophyta; Magnoliopsida; Brassicales; Brassicaceae.
AUUCCAAUGUGGGAACCCACACUCAUUUGUUAAAUUCUUGCGCCGGUAAAUUUCGUAUUCGCCGGCACGUAAUGUACCCGAUGACGUCAUUUAAACAGUUGACACGUUAAGUCCAAUAAACGAAAGAAACAAAACAUUGCGUGUUUCUGACAAGUGUGGGCUUUUUAUAGGGAAAGGGCUUACAUAUAAUGGGGUUGGUAAGUUUAAAGUGUUAAGUCAUCGCUCAUUAAUGUAUCCAUCCAAUUCAAGAAAUAGUUCACACACAAAUACAAAUACUAAUGAAAAAUAGACAUUAAACGUACGAAUAACGAAACUGAUUCAUUUUAAAUGUUUGAAACAUAGUGAAGAUACACCAAUUCUGUUUCUAGGCAUUACACAUAAGGUUUGUUUCUGUUCAAAUAACCCUAAAAUUCAAGCACUAAGUGAUGUUUUCAAUACCUUUUUUUUACUUUGGUUCGGUGUCGAUGUCUCCUUGAUCCACAGUCAGAUCACCAACCUAAAACCAAAGCAACAUGAUGACAGUUUCAUAAUAAAGUAAGUAUUAAAAAGGAGAAGCCAAUAGAAUUACAAG